Molecule: ribosomal RNA, 236 nt
Filed under: Listeria monocytogenes
Lineage: Bacteria; Bacillati; Bacillota; Bacilli; Caryophanales; Listeriaceae
Description: partial 23S ribosomal RNA
Rfam family: Bacterial large subunit ribosomal RNA
Source: RNAcentral
AUUGGGGUUGUAGGACACUCUAUACGGAGUUACAAAAGAAAGUUAUAAUUGAUGCGGUCUGGAAAGGCCCGCCAAUGACGGUAACUGCCCGGUAGUUGAAAUGGCUUUCCCUCCAGUGUGGAUCCUGAGUACGGCGGAACUCGUGAUUUUCCGUCGGAUUCCGGGAGGACCAUCUCCCAUGGCUAAAUACUCCCUAGUGACCGAUAGUGAUCCAGUACCGUGAGGGAAAGGUGAAA